This 249-nucleotide ribosomal RNA is filed under the name uncultured bacterium. RNAcentral's name for it is "partial 16S ribosomal RNA". It matches the Rfam family "Bacterial small subunit ribosomal RNA", at positions 1253 to 1500 of the family's 1533-position model. The record is from RNAcentral.
GACCGCGAGGCAGAGCAAACCCCUAAAAAGACCAUCCCAGUUCGGAUUGCAGGCUGCAACCCGCCUGUAUGAAGUUGGAAUCGCUAGUAAUCGCGGAUCAGCAUGCCGCGGUGAAUACGUUCCCGGGCCUUGUACACACCGCCCGUCACACCAUGAGAGUCGGGAACACCCGAAGUCCGUAGCCUAACCGCAAGGAGGGCGCGGCCGAAGGUGGGUUCGAUAAUUGGGGUGAAGUCGUAACAAGGUACC